CGAACGGGUGAGUAACGCGUGAGGAACCUGCCUCAAAGAGGGGGACAACAGUUGGAAACGACUGCUAAUACCGCAUAAGCCCACAGGUCGGCAUCGACCAGAGGGAAAAGGAGCAAUCCGCUUUGAGAUGGCCUCGCGUCCGAUUAGCUAGUUGGUGAGGUAACGGCCCACCAAGGCAACGAUCGGUAGCCGGACUGAGAGGUUGAACGGCCACAUUGGGACUGAGGCACGGCCCAG
This 237-nucleotide ribosomal RNA is filed under the name uncultured bacterium. Its description in RNAcentral is "partial 16S ribosomal RNA". It matches the Rfam family "Bacterial small subunit ribosomal RNA", at positions 99 to 334 of the family's 1533-position model. The record is from RNAcentral.